ACACCUGACAUCUUUGAUUUGUGAUUCAUUGCUUCUGUGUAGGAAUUUGAGCUUUCGUUUCAGUGAGUGUUUCCUCUUGGAUUAUCUGAUGUGAAAUGUGUUCAAAGAAUCACAACACUGUAGGCUAUGGAUGUGUGUACACAGACUCCGAUGAAGUUUUCUGUCAGUCAAGAGCUCUUUUGAUCAUCGACGCCUCCUCAAACUCCCACAGCUACACACGGAGCCGUGGAUAUGCUGAUAUGAUCACCCUGGCAACAUCACGAGUCACUGAGGACUAAAUAAAAAGGCCGUCAGCUGCUACACAGCUAAUCGUUGAGAUAGCGGCCGCUGAUAAUUGGUGCAGAUUGGAAGAUAAAGACCAUUCAAUGUAGUCGUCCAUGAAGACCUUGAGAUAGAAGCUUUAAGAAUUCUUAUCUCUCUUUUUCAAGUACAUAUAAAACAUAUUGUUGUGGUUUUCAAUGAAGCGGUUCAUCUGUGAGCUCAGUCCAUUAUUAGUGAAAAAAUAUUGACAGGAUAAAAGGACGUCAGGGGACAUGAUCAUACUUUAUGGUUUUGUAUAUGGUGCAGUGCUUUGAAAACAAUUCAAAAUAAUGUUUUGUUGUGCAGAUGACAAAUGAAUUGCGCCGUAUAACAUCUGACCUUAAAGUACUACCACAGUUCAAGACAGUACAGCAUUUUCAAUAAUCUGUGAUUAAGUGUCAUACAGACACAGCGGCAGCAGAAAUCUCUGAAACACUUCAGCUCAUGAGUCAGCUGGAGAUGUGUGACCCAUUUUGACUCGUAAACAUGAUUUCAUACACAACUUAUGGAGUAUUUCCAGAAACACUAACAAUAGAUAUGUUUCUAAUUAAGGCUUGAAAUGCCAUAUUAGUUUAUAGAUAUUUUGAAACUCUUAAUAAAUGAAUGUUUAC
Carassius auratus (goldfish) is the source of this 911-nucleotide long non-coding RNA. RefSeq lists it as uncharacterized. Lineage: Eukaryota; Metazoa; Chordata; Actinopteri; Cypriniformes; Cyprinidae. The record is from RefSeq and is a predicted model, not a curated record. The transcript is spliced from 3 exons.